GUUAUUCUAUCAAAUGGAUUUCUGAGCAAGAACACUUUCGCUUCAUUUCUGACAUUUUUCUGUUGAUUUUUUUUUUUAAACUCGAGAUGCACGAAAUCGUGGCAUAUGGAAGAUUUUUUGGCUAAAGAGUUGAUCGUCAUGUUGCCGAUUUUUCAUUUUGUUGCAACGAAAUCAAUAUUCUCCCUAUCAGAUCGAAGAUUGCAAUUGCCAUUAGAUUGACUAAUUUGAAGAUCAAUCCGAUCAAACAAUCAAAUUCUUACAUGAC
Phalaenopsis equestris is the source of this 265-nucleotide long non-coding RNA. RefSeq lists it as uncharacterized. The transcript is spliced from 3 exons. NCBI's taxonomy places the organism in Eukaryota, Viridiplantae, Streptophyta, Magnoliopsida, Asparagales, Orchidaceae. The record is from RefSeq and is a predicted model, not a curated record.